Molecule: ribosomal RNA, 395 nt
Filed under: uncultured bacterium
Lineage: Bacteria
Description: bacterial SSU rRNA
Rfam family: Bacterial small subunit ribosomal RNA
Source: RNAcentral
GUGUCAGCAGCCGCGGUAAUACGGGGGUGGCAAGCGUUGUUCGGAAUUACUGGGCGUAAAGGGCGCGUAGGCGGCAUAACAAGUCAGAUGUGAAAGCCCCGAGCUCAACUCGGGAACUGCAUCUGAAACUGUAUUGCUUGAGUUCUGGAGGGGGUAGUGGAAUUCCCAGUGUAGCGGUGAAAUGCGUAGAUAUUGGGAGGAACACCUGCGGCGAAGGCGGCUACCUGGACAGUGACUGACGCUGAGGCGCGAAAGCUAGGGGAGCGAACGGGAUUAGAUACCCCGGUAGUCCUAGCCGUAAACGAUGGGCACUUGGUGUUGGGGGUAUUGAGUCCCUCGGUGCCGGAGCUAACGCGAUAAGUGCCCCGCCUGGGGAGUACGGUCGCAAGACUGAA